UGUGCGUUGACAUUUCCCAGUGGGCACCGGGCCAAAAAUAGACGUCUUUUAAACGUUCAAAAGACGUCCAAAACGUUCAAAAAACGUUCAAAAAAAUGUAGAUAUAUUGUGAACUAGUUGUCAACAAGACAAUAAACACCUCGAGAACAUUAAUUUAUUGUUACUACUUAUUUGACAAAUUUUUGUGAAUUUUGUUAUCGCUUUUCCUGUCGUUGUGUUCCAUAUGCUAACAGCCCCAAACUUUUUUCUUUAGAAAUUUUUAAAAUCUUGCAUUUACCACAAAAAACCACGAACCUUGCAAGACUUAAAAACUUUGAAGAAGAAGUUGCCAAUUUGGAGUUAGAUAAUAAUGAUGCUCCCGUUGAAAUAGAUACACCCGUUGAAUGAUGGUUCCACGUUUAACCGAUGCAUGCGUUGAAUACUUCAAUGAGAACUUUCUCAAUAUCUUUAAUACAUUAAAAGUUUUAAA
Long non-coding RNA from Hydra vulgaris (swiftwater hydra), 469 nucleotides. RefSeq lists it as uncharacterized. The record is from RefSeq and is a predicted model, not a curated record. Lineage: Eukaryota; Metazoa; Cnidaria; Hydrozoa; Anthoathecata; Hydridae.